Molecule: long non-coding RNA, 1924 nt
Organism: Pygocentrus nattereri (red-bellied piranha)
Lineage: Eukaryota; Metazoa; Chordata; Actinopteri; Characiformes; Serrasalmidae
Exons: 2
Source: RefSeq, a predicted model, not a curated record
UCAAACAACAUACAACACAUCAAACCUAACAUCACACAUAUCCAACAAAGACCAGCACUAGACUAGGGAAAACACAAGGCUUAAAUACAAGAGGGCUAACAAGGGAUAACAGGACACAGGAGGUUAACAGGUGGGAACGAUCAGGGGUGGAGUCAGAAAACAAGGGGGCUGGACUAGGAUGGAGCCCAAAGAAAGAAGCACAUGGACAAGUAAACAGAUGCACAUGGAAGACUGAAACACAACGUUAGCACAUGGACAGGACUGGGAGGGGCCAAUUGUGACAGCUAUAAAUACAAGGAGACUAUAAGACACAGAUUGAAAAAAAAUGAAUGAUUGCUUUUUGACAAAAGAGCAAGUAUAUUGUCUAUAACUAUUGUGUAUUGCCUAAAUUUCUGGAAAAACAAAUCAAAAUGAAAAUUUUGCCCAUUUCACCCAGUACCACUUGCAGAGUUUUUAGAGGAUCUAGCAUAGAAGUAAGAAGGGGACUGACUUUUCAACUUUGACAAGAAGAAGGGGUUUAGAGUUCCAAUACUGGCAGAGGGCAGUUAAGCCGAUUGCAUGCUACAUGAUUCUAGCACCGAUUUUUGAGUUACAGAUACAUUUUUGGGCUCUGCAAACCACCUAGCUCAGUGUUAGUGCUGCAUGCGUGCGCUUGUUUCAUUUGAAGCAAUGUGAUGUUCCCAGUCUGUAAGCUGUUAGAUCUGUAAGCUGUUAGAGUAACCUACAAGUGAAUAUUCACAGCAGUUUUCUCCUCCAUGAUGUAUAGCCCCAGGGAAUGGAAAGAGCACCAUUAAAAAUAGAUUUUUUCUUUUAGAUUUUUUCUAAAAGAUUCUCAAACUACAGCUUGGCACGUUGUAAAGACUGUUUAUUAAUGAAGUUAAUUUCCAUGAAAGAGUGUGAUUUUGCUCAUGCUUUGUCACACAUCACUCAAGGUUAAACAUCAUGUAGUAUGUCAGUCUUGCCUGUUACCACUCUUGUAGUCUGCACACAACAAGUCACAAGUGAUUCACUUGUGUCCACUAGGUAUUACUGGCAGUGCCUCCCACUCUGGAAAAGUGGAGGUUGGGCAAAAAAGCGCCAACAUUAACAUAAGGAAUUCCUGGAAGGGUAGAUGUGUGCUUUAACUAAAAUCUACCUUACUACAAUCUGCCUUUCCCGUGCGUCUUUCUCCAGUACUGCUUUAUCUCCUGAGCCUUCACAUGUAGGGCCCAUUCAAAAGGCUCCAACAGAGAAGAACAGAAGAUCAAAUGUUUGUGGGUGCAAUCAACAUCUUGUAGCAUUGGAAAAAGAAAGGCUUCAGCUAAAGAAAGAACAGAUUCAGCUGAAACGAGAGGAGCUCCAGCAGCAGGAGAGGCAUCAUCUGGAGCUGGUUCUGCUAAAGAAGGCUAAACUUAACAUUCUGUCUAAACAGCUCACAUUGGCAGAGACACAAGUCAACAGGCCCAUUUCAGUGCCAAUUAUACUGCCUUCAGAAAAAGACAGACACACAACAGACAAAAUAGAGCCUGCUUUGUGAAAUAUGGAACCUGUAUCUUCAGUAAAUGCUGGAGGCUACUUACUGGGAAUAGCUUCAAGCAAGCUUCUGUAGUACCUGACCAGUAUUAUGGUCAGGAGGUAUUAUUUUGUUUUGUCUAUGUCUGUUCAUGUUUUUGUAUACUUGAAUACAUUUUGUAUACUUUGCUUAAAUAGUCCAGUUUCAAUCAUGUCACAGCAUUAUCACUUAAAUCACAUAUGUUUUGGUGUUGGUUUGGUGUUUUUCCAAAAACAAUUCUUUGCACAUUUACUAAAAAGUUAAAAACUAUCUGUCCACGGAAUGUUGUUUCACUAGUGUUACAAAAGUGCUAUUGAGAAACUUCUGGAAACUUGUUUUUGUACUAGAGAGCAAUUUUUCCCUCCACUGUAAUAAAAAUUUGUCAUUCCUGGA